UAAGAUUCCCCUUCACUAUUACACGUGCCAUCUUCUCCUUAUACUAAUCCUUAAUAAGCAUGACAAUGCUUAAACCCUCUCUGUAUAUAAAUAGACGUAAUGAGAAUGAAAUGUAUAUCUCUCAAUCCUCAUCAUUAUAUAAGAUUUCACUACCAAGCAAUUGCAGUCUUAUAUAAGAGCUUUCAGUUUCAUUUACAUAAUUUAUAUUAGUUUAUUAUAUAUAUGUUUUUAUUCUAUAACACGUUAUCAGCACGAGAUUUUGCUCGAUAGAGAUUUGUUAUUUUCGUAUUCUUCUUUCUAUUUUAUUUUACGAAAAUCCAGAUCCUCGUUCUAUUGUCGAAAUGACAAACGAGAAUGAUUAGCGAAUACUUCAGUAUUUUAUACGCUAUCAUUUCUCAAAGGAUAUGAUGGAUUCGUGUAUAUUAAUAUAUUGCUUAUUUAUUUGUUGAAUUGCUGCUGAAAUUUAUAUUUGCAAGCUUGUGGAUCCCAAGCAGUGCUAUAAGCACGUGUUAUGUUUAACAGAUCUGUGGGCCGACUUAGAGGCCAAGAUAUUCACUCCGAGCAUGAUGCUCGUCGAGUAAAAUAUAUAAUAAUCUCAGUUGAAAGUUGAUUUAGAGACUAUGAGAUUAACUCCGAGCAUAAGCUCGUUGAGUUGGGGAAAUAAUAAUCUCCGUUUAAAGCCGAUUUAGAGGCUAUCAACUCCGGGCAUAGUACCCGUAGAGCUUAACAGAGACCGUAUAGAGGUCAUACUAUAAUUCCGAGCGGAUAAACUCGUUGAAUUGAGACGUUGGAAUUCCCGUCAAAUAAAUAAAAUAUAGCUCCGAGUCUAAGCUCGUUGAGACAAGAAAGCCGAUAUAGAGGCUAAAUCGCUAAUAUAGCUCCGAGCCUAAGCUCGUUGAGACAAGAAAGCUGAUUUAGAGGCUAAACUGUUCAUAUAGCUCCGAGCAAAACUCGUUGAGACAAGAAAGCCGAUUUAGAGGCUAAAUCUUUAAUAUAGCUCCGAGUCUAAACUCGUUGAAGCAAGAAAGCCGAUUUAGUGGCUAAAUAUUUAAUAUAGCUCCGAGUCUAAACUCGUUAAGACAAUAAAGCCGAUUUAGAGGCUAAAUCACAAAUAUAACUCCGAGCCUGAAGCUUGUUGAGUCAAGACGUGAUAAUAUCCGUCAAAAGCCGAUUUAAAGGCCAAAUAUCUGAAUAUAUCUCCGAGCCUGAAGCUCGUUGAGUUAAGACGUGAUAAUAUCCGUCAAAAGCCGAUUUGAAGGCCAAAUAUCUGAAUACAUCUCCGAGCCUGAAGCUCGUUGAGUUAAGACGUGAUAAUAUCCAUCAAAAGCCGAUUUGAAGGCCAAAUAUCUGAAUAUAACUCCGACCUGAAGCUCGUUGAGUCAAGACGUGAUAAUAUCCGUCAAAAGCCGAUUUAAAGGCCAAUUAUUUGAAAAUAUCUCCGAGCCUGAAGCUCGUAGAGUCAUUAGACGAGGUAAAACCUGUCAAGAGCCAACUUAGAGGCUAUUAAUCACAAGCCCAAACUUAAAGGGUUAUGGGUUAUUUUGUACCCAGUGUAUAUGUAUCUCUCUCGAAAGGUGUGAUUACGAGAUUGAAUUAUUUUGUGUGUAUCCAUGUAUAAUCUCUCUUGGAUGGUGUGAUUCCCAAGAUUGAGUUGUUUUGAAUAAAC
Molecule: long non-coding RNA, 1666 nt
Filed under: Erythranthe guttata (spotted monkey flower)
Lineage: Eukaryota; Viridiplantae; Streptophyta; Magnoliopsida; Lamiales; Phrymaceae
Description: long non-coding RNA (EGUT_LNC003091)
Source: RNAcentral